Molecule: ribosomal RNA, 501 nt
Filed under: uncultured bacterium
Lineage: Bacteria
Description: partial 16S ribosomal RNA
Rfam family: Bacterial small subunit ribosomal RNA
Source: RNAcentral
AGCGAACGUUUGCGGCGGGCCUAACACAUGCAAGUCGAACGGGUCAGGGGGCAACUCCUGGCCAGUGGCGCACGGGUGCGUAACACGUGGGUAAUCAACCCUUUGGACUGGGACAACCCGGGGAAACUCGGGCUAAUACCGGAUGUGGCAUGGUGGGCAUCUGCCUGUCCUCCGAAAGCCCCGCAAGGGGCACCAGAGGACGCGCCCGCGUCCCAUCAGCUAGUUGGUGAGGAAAUGGCCCACCAAGGCUAAGACGGGUAGCUGGUCUGAGAGGAUGAUCAGCCACACUGGAACUGAGACACGGUCCAGACUCCUACGGGAGGCAGCAGUGGGGAAUAUUGCGCAAUGGGCGAAAGCCUGACGCAGCCACGCCGCGUGUGCGAUGAAGGUCUUCGGAUCGUAAAGCACUGUGGGGGGAGAAGAAACAAGCCGGUGAAGAGCCGGCCCUGACGGUAUCCCCUUAGCAAGCACCGGCUAACUCCGUGCCAGCAGCCGCCGUAA